RNAcentral lists this ribosomal RNA (274 nucleotides) under uncultured bacterium. RNAcentral's name for it is "partial 16S ribosomal RNA". It matches the Rfam family "Bacterial small subunit ribosomal RNA", at positions 523 to 796 of the family's 1533-position model. The record is from RNAcentral.
AUACGGAGGGGACCAGCGUUGCUCGGAAUUACUGGGCGUAAAGCGCAUGCAGGCGGAUCGCUAAGUCGGGGGUGAAAGCCCGAGGCUCAACCUCGGAACUGCCUUCGAUACUGGCGAUCUUGAGUCCGCGAGAGGUGAGUGGAACUCCGAGUGUAGAGGUGAAAUUCGUAGAUAUUCGGAAGAACACCAGUGGCGAAGGCGGCUCACUGGCCCGGUACUGACGCUGAGAUGCGAAAGCGUGGGGAGCAAACAGAAUUAGAAACCCGAGUAGUCC